UUGGAAGACAAUUGCUGGUGUGUAUUGC
RNAcentral lists this non-coding RNA (28 nucleotides) under Rattus norvegicus (Norway rat). The record is from RNAcentral. Lineage: Eukaryota; Metazoa; Chordata; Mammalia; Rodentia; Muridae.